UGACCAGAACGGUCACUGACAAAGUUCAGUGACCGUUCGGUCAAAAGUGACCGAACGGUCACUGAACUUUGUCAGUGACCGUUCUGGUCACU
Molecule: microRNA precursor, 92 nt
Filed under: Olea europaea subsp. europaea
Lineage: Eukaryota; Viridiplantae; Streptophyta; Magnoliopsida; Lamiales; Oleaceae
Source: RNAcentral